Molecule: long non-coding RNA, 449 nt
Filed under: Panax ginseng (ginseng)
Lineage: Eukaryota; Viridiplantae; Streptophyta; Magnoliopsida; Apiales; Araliaceae
Description: long non-coding RNA (PGIN_LNC013035)
Source: RNAcentral
UUGGGACAAAAAAGUAGGAGGAUAUACCAUUUUCCAUUUUUAAACACUUUAAUUACUGCUAAAACAUAUUAUGAAACACAAAUAGCACCCCUUACAUUCAUAUAAUCACUUUAAUGUGAUUUUACAAGAUGAAAACCAAGCAUAUACACAAUCCAGUCCAACAUUUUAAAGGAAAAUUUAGUAGCACGGCCAUCAUUAAUCCAAAUGAUAUCAGUGCUGCUAAACAUAUAUUGAAUGAUCAUGCAUGCUUUUAUUUUAUAUAUACUACAUUCUAUGAAGAAGUAGUAUAUAUAUAUAUAUACUUUCCAUACUAUAUAUCAUAGACUAGAGUACAUGCAUGCAUCGUCAGAUCAAAACACUCCUCUAGUUUUGAGGCUUGACUCCGGUAGUCUCUGCGUCCACCACCUCACCUGCAUAGUUGCAGCACCUAUAACGGCAGUAUCCGUGAC